GCCUGGGUGGCUCAGUUGGUUGAGCGUCUGACUUCGGCUCAGGUCAUGAUCUCGCGGUCCGUGAGUUCGAGCCCCGCGUCAGGCU
This 85-nucleotide transfer RNA is filed under the name Felis catus (domestic cat). It matches the Rfam family "tRNA". From Rfam's summary of the family: Transfer RNA (tRNA) molecules are approximately 80 nucleotides in length. Their secondary structure includes four short double-helical elements and three loops (D, anti-codon, and T loops). Further hydrogen bonds mediate the characteristic L-shaped molecular structure. tRNAs have two regions of fundamental functional importance: the anti-codon, which is responsible for specific mRNA codon recognition, and the 3' end, to which the tRNAs corresponding amino acid is attached (by aminoacyl-tRNA synthetases). tRNAs cope with the degeneracy of the genetic code in two manners: having more than one tRNA (with a specific anti-codon) for a particular amino acid; and 'wobble' base-pairing, i.e. permitting non-standard base-pairing at the 3rd anti-codon position. Lineage: Eukaryota; Metazoa; Chordata; Mammalia; Carnivora; Felidae. RNAcentral also lists the same sequence under 2 other names. The record is from Rfam by way of RNAcentral.